ACCGCGAACCGGGAGGUUGCGGGUGACACCGGGGCGAGGGGGGCUGGGGAUAGGCGCGACACUGGGGCGAGGGGACACCGGGGACCGGCCGGGGAUGUUAAUGGCUGCAGGGGGCGCUGUGCACCUGCGCGGUGAGCAGGCGGGACAGCAGAGCAGGGUCGGGGGGACGCCGGGGACAGGGAGUCCUGACCGGGGGUUUAACGUGGACAGGGACGCUGAACUGGGCAGCGGGGACAGGGAGUCCUGACCGGGGGUUUAACGUGGACAGGGACGCUGAACUGGGCAGCGGGGACAGCGGAACAGAGGAAUAACACUGGACCGAGUGGGACGCCGACUGCGGGCCGACACCGAACAGGGUGACACCGGGACGGGGAUGAUCCCGGGACACGGGGGUGACACCGAGCAGCAGGGAAACGGACCAGCGGGGGACACCGGAGCGAGGUGACACCGGCGGGUGAUCCUAGAGACCGAGUGGCUCCCGAGCCACGGCACCGGGUACAGCACGGCCGAGGCGGCUCCAGCGCCGGUGCCAGUAGCAGAGGAGGAGCUGCGGCGCCGCCUCAAGUAAUUCCUCAUGAGCCCCUGUGACAAGUAGCGGGCCCGCAUGUUGUGGUGCUUUGAAUCCAUGUUUGCCCACUGUUCUCCCUAAUCCCCUCACUUUCCCAGUUACCAAUUUUCUCAAGCCCUUCCCUAACCUCCUCCCUUCCAAGCUGUUAAUCCUCCCUAUCCCUUUCUCCAGAGAGUUCUGUGUCUGUCUUGUUGCCCUCGACACCCCAUUUGUUACUUCGUAUUAUUCCCCCCCACCCCUUUUUCUCUAAUACGCUCAUAAGCUAUUUGCCUCACCCUAUACUCCUCUCUUGCCAUAUCCUCAUUGGUUCACUUUCCUGCACCCCUCCUCCUGAGCUGCUGUAUAAAAACUUGUGUUCACCCCUCCCCCAAUCUUGUCUGGGAGCUCAGGAAUAAAUCCAUCUUGUUCUACUCCAAGACCCGUGUCUUUGCUAUCUGUCCCUGUGCCGGAGCUGCCGAUAACUGGGAAUUGCAGAGUUUGCAGGGUCGUGCCCCUGCCACAGCCGUCCCACACGCCACGCACUGCAACACCCACGGAAGGCGGCCCGCGAAGUUCAUGCUGAAGCACACCAAGAUCGUCCUCGUCACCGUGUAGCUGAUCCUGUUCAGGCUCAGCAACCAGCUGGUGGUGGCUUUCAAGGAGGACAACACAGUGGCCUUCAAGCACCUGUUCCCCAAGGGCUACAAAGAUGGCACCAAUGACACCCAGGCCAUCUACACCUGUGGGGACUUCCUGAAGCACCUGGCCUUUGUCCUCAGGAAGGUGGUAUGGGGACACUGGAGGGGCUGGGCACAUUGGGAGGGGCGGAGAACAUUGUGGGUCCUCCUGGAGCAUGUGCCCUAAGCCCUUGAGAAAGUGGCACAGGGACACUGGGGUGGCUGGGGACACCAGGAGGAACUGGGGACAUCGGGACCUCCUGGAACACCUAGUCUAUGCCCUCAAGAAGGUGGCACAGGGACACCGGAAGGGGUUGUGGACAUCAGGGGAGGGUUGAGAGACAUCAGGAAGGUUGCAGACACCAGGAAAAGUUUGGGAACAUGGGGGUUAUUUGGAGCCAUCAAGGUGCCACCCACAGUGCUCCUGUCCCUGUCCCCACAGUACCUGGCUGUCCUCCAUGAGACCUUUGGUCACCACACCUACACCUGGGGACAUGGAGGUGUUUCUGGAACACUGAGAUGUUUUGGGGCCAUGGAGAUGUUUUGGGGCCAUGGAGAUGUUUUGGGGCCAUGGGGUGGUUUGGGGCCACCAAGGUACCCCAGGGCCACCUCCAGCCUUGGUGUCCCUGUCCCUUGGUGUCCCUGUUCCUGUAGUACCCAAUGGGACCUUGGGCCACUAUGCCUAUGGUGGCACUGAGGGUGGCACCAGGCUCCGGCUGUGCCAGCGCUUCUUCCGCAGGGUGGACAUCAACCCCAGCAACAACACCUUUGACAUCAACCCCAGCAUCAUCACUGGUGGAGACCCUUGGAGUUUGAGGUUUGGGAUUUGUGGUGUGGGGCGCUGGGUUUGGGGUUUGGAGUUUAUGGUUUACGUUUCAAGUUUGGGAGUUGUGGCUUGCGGUUUGGGUUUGUGGUUUGGAUUUGGGUUGGUCGCAUGUCCUGGUUUAGGGCAAAUUUUGGGAGAAAACCUCCAGAAGGAGUCCCGAGAAAGCAAACCCCCUCAGCCUCUCCCCCCUCCUGGUUCGGGAAGAAUUUCCUUGGAGAGAAGUGGAAAGAAAACUGUUUAUUUAAAAGGCAAAGCACUCCCCAGCUAAAAAAAAUGAACAACACUAGAUGACAAAACUCUUUCACCGCUCUGAAGAGAUGACAAAUCCAGACAGUCUCUCCUGGGAGUGGUCGCUCUGUUAUCAGUCCCUCCGGUGCUGAGAAUGGCUGCUGCAGGCCACAAAGUGCAAACUCUCAGUGUUUCCCAGGUCCCAGUCCAGAGCAGGUUUGAAUGGUUCCAAGAAAAGGGAAAGAAAAACAGUCCAGGGGAAAAUUCAGACUGCCCAGCUAAACUAACUAACAAGCCAAAAGCAAAAGCAAUCCAAGGAUUGCUCCCACACAAUAUGUGUCAGGUCAGAAAAUAGUUGCUGGAUUCUAUCUGCCCAGGGCAGCAUGUAAUCUACACUUUGAACCCUAGGUCUAAGUAUUUUCCUUCCCCUGUAAAAGUGUUUCAAUCAUCUUUAAAGAGCUCGUCCACUGAAAUUUGGAUACCACCUUCAGUACUGAAAACAUCCAAGGAUUGCUCCCACACAAAAUGUGGACAGACAGAUCUUGCUGGUCUUUACCUCCAAUGGACAGAGUUUGUGAAAUAAAAUGAGAGUGCUUUACCAUGGGAAGGAAAGCAUGUAGGCCCAGUGGUUUAGGUGCAGAUUACAGGCUGCCCUAGGCGGGUAGAGAUCAGUGAAAGCUUUCUGAUCUGGCAGCUUUUGUAUGAGAGUUAUCUUUGGGCAUAUAUAAUAUUGGAGGUGGUAUCCACAGUUGAAUAAUGGGCUUCUGGAUGAGAGUGAGAGGUUUUUUCCAUAGGAAGGAAAGCGUGUAGCCCCAGUGUUUGUGGUGUUGAUGAGAGGCUGCACAGGGGAGCCAGGGAACGCCAGCCAAGACCUCUCUAUCGUGGCACCUUUUUGGUAGGAGCAGUCCUUGGACAUAAUACUGGUAGUGUUACCUGAUUUGGGUAAUGGGUAAAAUCCCUGGUCAUAUUCAAUUAAUUGCACUUAACAACUGAAAAGCAUGUGUGAUGUAGAAUGCAUGUACUAAGUUACCAUAGUUGUUAGCUUAAAUAAAAGAAGCAACUCUA
This is a non-coding RNA of Taeniopygia guttata (zebra finch), 3343 nucleotides long. The record is from RefSeq and is a predicted model, not a curated record. NCBI's taxonomy places the organism in Eukaryota, Metazoa, Chordata, Aves, Passeriformes, Estrildidae.